Medicago truncatula (barrel medic) is the source of this 965-nucleotide long non-coding RNA. RefSeq lists it as uncharacterized. NCBI's taxonomy places the organism in Eukaryota, Viridiplantae, Streptophyta, Magnoliopsida, Fabales, Fabaceae. The transcript is spliced from 3 exons. The record is from RefSeq and is a predicted model, not a curated record.
CAGAUUUUGUUGAUGUGGAUUUGGGGAUAUGCAGAAGCUGGAAGGGUUGGUUCUAUCCAGAAAGUUGCAGAUAGGCUUCGUUGUUACACUUGGUCAUGACUUCUUCAUCUCACUUCAAAAUUGCAAAAGGAGGUUUAUGCGGUGGUGGUUGUUGCAAGAAGGCCCUCGCGGUGAUAAUUUAUACGGUGGUGGUUGAUUAUACUGAUGUGACUGUGUCUUAGAUAUCCCCUGAGCUAUGCAAACUAAAAAUUAAGUUGUAAACUAUGAUUCAUAUCAUUGUUUUAAUAAGGAUUGGCCCAAUGCUUCAUGUGAUAUUCUAUUGGCUGAAUAAGGAUCUAUCUAAGCAUAUGAUUGUGUCUUCAAGAUAUGCUUAACUUACCAUUAACUAUAAGCAUGAUCAUUGCAAAACAUUAAUUGUAAAUCAUACCUUACCUACAUAAUAUAGCUAUAUAUUUCAUGUUAUUUUAAUUUACGGUUUUUAUGUGAUGUUGAACUCCUAAAUUACUAAUAUAUUGUGCUCAUCAUUGACCCGUGUGGUAGCACGGGUUAGCAAAUUAUGAGGUUUUGCUUGACAUGAAGGCAAUUUCCGUUAUCUGUCGUCUCAUUUGCAAUGACUAUUAACAAGAGUCAGGGUCGGUCGUUGAAACAUGUUGGUGUUUAUCUACCGUCUCCUGUUUUUUCACAUGAUAUUCUAUUGGCUGAAUAAGGAUCUAUCUAAGCAUAUUACUGUGUCUUCAAAAUAUGCUUAACUUACCAUUAACUAUAAGCAUGAUCAUUGCAAAACAUUAAUUGUAAAUCAUACCUUACCUACAUAAUAUAGCUAUAUAUUUCAUGUUAUUUUAAUUUACGGUUUUUAUGUGAUGUUGAACUCCUAAAUUACUAAUAUAUUGUGCUCAUCAUUGACCCGUGUGGUAGCACGGGUUAGCAAAUUAUGAGGUUUUGCUUGACAUGAAGGCAAUUUCCGU